CAAAACAUUUACAGAACUCUCUUUUAAUUUGGAGUGAAUAUCAGGCAGCUAGCCUUCGUUUCAAUGUUUUAACAUUCUUAAGGAUGUAUCAAGUCCUUUUGGCUUCAGGAGAUCCCAAGUCUGCGAAGAGUUUGCUAACUAAGAUUCCGAUGGACGACCCGCACGUUCGAUGCAUUAUCAAGGCAUGUCAAGAGACUUAUGUUCAGUCAUCGAGCAUGACAAAGACAAAGAAGCAGAAG
This is a long non-coding RNA of Hibiscus syriacus, 239 nucleotides long. RefSeq lists it as uncharacterized. The transcript has 2 exons. The record is from RefSeq and is a predicted model, not a curated record. NCBI's taxonomy places the organism in Eukaryota, Viridiplantae, Streptophyta, Magnoliopsida, Malvales, Malvaceae.